GAUGAACGCUGGCGGCGUGCCUAAUACAUGCAAGUCGAGCGAACGGACGAGAAGCUUGCUUCUCUGAUGUUAGCGGCGGACGGGUGAGUAACACGUGGAUAACCUACCUAUAAGACUGGGAUAACUUCGGGAAACCGGAGCUAAUACCGGAUAAUAUUUUGAACCGCAUGGUUCAAAAGUGAAAGACGGUCUUGCUGUCACUUAUAGAUGGAUCCGCGCUGCAUUAGCUAGUUGGUAAGGUAACGGCUUACCAAGGCAACGAUGCAUAGCCGACCUGAGAGGGUGAUCGGCCACACUGGAACUGAGACACGGUCCAGACUCCUACGGGAGGCAGCAGUAGGGAAUCUUCCGCAAUGGGCGAAAGCCUGACGGAGCAACGCCGCGUGAGUGAUGAAGGUCUUCGGAUCGUAAAACUCUGUUAUUAGGGAAGAACAUAUGUGUAAGUAACUGUGCACAUCUUGACGGGACCUAAUCAGAAAGCCACGGCUAACUACGUG
This 497-nucleotide ribosomal RNA is filed under the name uncultured bacterium. RNAcentral's name for it is "partial 16S ribosomal RNA". It matches the Rfam family "Bacterial small subunit ribosomal RNA", at positions 28 to 507 of the family's 1533-position model. The record is from RNAcentral.